Molecule: long non-coding RNA, 916 nt
Organism: Coffea arabica (coffee)
Lineage: Eukaryota; Viridiplantae; Streptophyta; Magnoliopsida; Gentianales; Rubiaceae
Source: RefSeq, a predicted model, not a curated record
UGUAAUAUGUUAUGAAUGAUGAGAUUGACCUGACACAUUAUGGAACAUCAGGUCUAGUUUUACUGUAAUAUUCCGGUUCAUCUCAUCCUUGGUCAAAAAGGAAGAUGUCACGGAUGACGCUGCUGGUGAAGUUGAACGAAGAUUAUGAAGCAACUAAUAGACGUUUCCAGGAAUCCGACAGCCCCUCUUCCUUCUUCGAUUCAGUCCUCACUCCUAUUAAAGGCAUUCCUAAUUAGGACCAAACAACGCUCUUUGUCUUUGGCGCUCACUCUUUUGAGUAGGGAAAUUGUUAUUGCUCCUCUUACUUCGUUUUCUUGACUUCUCCUUUUGAUUCUUACAUGUCUCUUUAGCAUUUCAAGGUUUAUAAACAAUAAUGACAUUUGCAAGUGAUCAUGAGGACUGCCUCGGCUGUGCAGCAAGAGACCCUUCUGGGGUGGGUCCUGUCUCCUUGCAAAUUCAGCCGCAGGCUGCUAGCAAUCAGGACCUGCUGUUAGUUUGUAUUUCACCUACGGCAAUCUAAUUUUCGUCCCAGGCUGGUUUGCUAGUGAUAGCAUUUACUUCGAGGUUUCUUGGUCUCCAGGAUUUAAAACUCUCUACAGGGCCAUUGGGAGCGAAGAUGUUUCACUGGAUAUCGCGUACUGUGGAGUUUGUUAUGCUGAUGUUGUCUGGACCAGGAACAAAACAGGAUAUGCCAGUAUUAAUCAUUCCCAAGGCCAGACAUGAGAUCACUGGGAUCGCAAGACAGGUUGGCUCCCCCGUUAAACGCUUCAAAGUUGGAGUUGGAACUUACGUUAAUUCUUGCAGAGAUUGUGAGGAAUGUCAGAGGAUGGAUUGGAGGUUCGGUGGUCCAAGGGAGCAGUCUUAACUUUUGAUGGUACAGUGACCAAAGGAGGAUAUUCGAAUUACAUAGUUGUCC